AUACCAGUAUGUACACACAUACUUGUGUGCACAUAGGAACACUCCUCUCUUCUGCUUUACUUUUUUGCUCUGCAUGUAUCACAACCUAACACACUGUUUAUUUCGCGUAUUUAUCGUGGACUCUGGGUCCUCUCUUUCCAGGUUCAUAGGGUGGCUUGGCCACCAUCUCGGUCAGCUUGGGCAGCUGUAACAGAAUGCCACAGACCGGGCGGCUUCAACAACAACAUUGAUUUUGCCUGGUCCCGGAGGCUGGCGGUCCGAGGUCAGUGCCCGCGUGGCCAGGUUUGCUGAGGCCCUCUUCCUAGCUUGCAGAGUCAUUGUUCUGUCCUCACAGGACAGGCCAGCUCCGCUUCCUCUUCCAUGGUGGAGGCUCUGCCUUCCUGACUUGCGACCUCCCCGAAGUCCCGCGUCCUAAUACCAUUCCAUGGGGGCUAGGGUUUCGGCAUGGAUUUUAGGGGCACACAGCAGGCAGGCCAUAAGAGCCAUGCACCAGCUGCGUGACCCGGGGCAGCUACCACACUUCCGCCCCUCAUCUCCCCAGCUGUCAAGUGGAGACAGUAAUGUGUCCACAGUACGGUGCUGGGACAAUGACAAGACUUACUAUAAACAUCCCACCUGUUAGUGUUAAUACCGACUCUCCCUCUGCCGUUGUCUGUCUCCCCCAUUAGGGCAGAGGCCCUCCUCAGCCGCUCUCCGAUGCCCCCUCGCCCAGGCAGUGUCCUCAAAUAGCUGAUGCGCUAGCAGACUUUGCUGAACGAGCGAGGCACCCCUGGCAGCCCGCCUGGGCUUGAAUUUAGUGUGAGGGGCCCAGGUAGCCUCAGGUCCCCUCCCAUCCAGCAGGAAAAAUCAAACCUGGCUCAGGCUGCAGUGUAAACAGCAGGGACCCAGGGCCAUGCCAGGCCUUAGGGAACCCGUUUGAGAGGUUCUUCCUCUUCCGGGUCCAUGCGGAGGACCUCUCCGGAAAACUCUGGAAAGCUGAGCCCUGCAGCCCGCAGCCUCAAUGCCACACCUGCCCCAGCUCCCUCCCUGGUAGCGGCAGGCACCUUGUCUUGGCCUCAGAGCCCCUGUGGCCUGUCCAGACCAUGCUGCCACAUCUGGACCAUCGAGGAGGCGGGGCUGUGUGGGGGGCACUCAGUGGAUACGUGGCGGAAGCUGGGCUCCCGGAUCAGAGAAUCGCCGGGUCGGACUCCAGUGCCUCCACAUUCUUGCUGGGUGAUCCAGGCAAGUCGCUGGGCUUCUUGAUCUGUUGGAUAGAGUAAGCCCACCCUUCUGUUUACGUUAGUGGGUUUUCCAGUUUUGCCAACAUUUCUUGGAGGCUGCUCCACACUGCAUGCCGCAUGUGGCUCUAGGGCUGAACACUGCCUGGGUGGUUCCUGACUGUCGGGCUUUUCUCAGUCCCUCUGGGGCCACUGCUCUGUCCUAGGCUCUGUCCCAGGUCCAGGCUGUGGGGUCUGCCUGGAGCUGGGGGUCUCAUCUCUCCGGGCUGACAUCUGUGGAGAUGUCCCCAUUCUGGUCAUGCCUGGGCAUCGAUCCACGUGCGGAAUGGCCGUGUGCUCUGUGUUUGACAUCAAGGCCCCUGUGGGCCUGCCCCCUGCCGUGCCACUCCUGGGCCCACAGGGACCCCCGCUCUGUCAUACCCAGAUGCAGAGCUGCCUCAGGCUUGGAGUGCAGGCGCAGUGCCCCCAUCUGCCCUAGUUUCCUCCGGAGUUUCUGGGGCGUUGUCACUGGGGACCCAGCUGGGGGUGGGGCAGGGCAGGGCUGGCCUUCCCUCCGCUGGAGCAUUGCUGUGGAGUGGGCUUGGAGUGUGGUGGGCAGACACAUCACCCACGUAUCCCUGCCGAGCCUGGAGGUGAGAAGCAGCCCUGAUUCUUCUCUUCCACUCCCUGUGAGUCUCUCUGUCAUCCCUGCCCCCAGCCAGGAGCUUUGAACACUCACCCCAGCUGUGGCCAGAUCCGGGAAGGAUUGUGAGUGGCAGGAAGUCUGGGGAAACCCACAGUGGUUAAUAUCUCAAGAAUAUCAGCCCAUUUACAGCACUGACUCUGAUGUGGCCAGAGAGACAAAGAUGACAAGAGACUGCUUGGGCACUGUUCUCGAGGGCUCGAAUGCCCCACCAAGGGGCCAGUCCCAUUCCUUUUGGGGGUAGGGAGCCCCUGGAGUGCUGUGGCCACCACCUGGAUAUUGGAUGGGGGUGGGGUGGUUUGGUGGUCCAGGGAGAAAGGGUGCAGACCCUAACUUGGGCAGUACCUGGUUGAUGAGGUGUCUGGGCGCAGAUUCAGCAGGUGAGCGGGGGCCGAGGCCUGGGCUAUGGAGAGAACCAGGUGCCUCCCCUACCCCCCAUCCUGGCACAGUCCCUGGCACGUAGUAUGCACUUAGUAAGCUAGGGAUGCCUGAUGGCUCUCUAGGUGUCAGGUGUGGUGCCAGGUGCUCUCACAGCCCAUGAAGUCAUCUCAGGAGGCACAUCCCACCUGGCCACAUGCCAGCUGAGGGCCCUUGGCAAGUUGCUCCACCUCAGAGCCUGUCAUGUGGUAUGAUCACCCCUGCCUCGAAGGGUUGCCAGGAGGAAUAAAUGGAAGGGGCAUCUGAACAUGGCGGAUAACUAGCUAGCAAAACCAAAAAAGAACAGCGUUUAUGACAAGACUUGGCUAAACACUGCCCCGUGAAUCCCAAAGUACAAGUAGGUAGGGAUAAUUCUAGGGUUUUCAGGUUCUACCCAGGAAAGGGGGCUCUGGUCCCUCUGACCUCAGUUUACCUAAAUCUAUCUGGAGUUUCAUCACCCAAUCCACUUUCGGGGUGGGACUCAGCCUGGGGCAUGAGUAGGCCAGGCCUUUACAAAGGACCCCAGACUUGCAUGUCAGGCAUCUACAUCUAUACGGGAGGAAAAAGAAGGACACAGCUGGGCAGCCGAUGGACCUGAGAGCAGGUGAGCCCCAAACGGCCACACGAAUUCACCGGCAGCAUGUGCAGCCAUCUGAGGACGCCAGCUGGAGCCGCCAGGGGUCUCACCCACCCGAAAGCAGGUUUAGCCCCAUGUCUGACUGCCUACCAUCCCUGGACCCUGGACUUGGCAUCUUGCCGUCAGCGUCGCACACCAAAGCAGGCAUGCGAGGGAUGCAGGGCACAGAAUCAUCAGUUGAGCAUUUGUUAAAUACAUCAGGUCCGAACAAGCCAGGAUGCUCAGCUUUCGUGGUGAGGUGGCAAAAAUCAGCGUGAGAAUGAAAUGCUUUUGGAAAAACUAUAGCAGAUUUCCUUUUCAAAGCUCAUUAAAUACGGACUAGUGCUGUGCAAGAGAAAUAGAAUGCCGGCCGCAGAGGUAAGCUUAGCAGCCACGUUAAACAAAGUAAAAGAAACAGGUGACAUUCAG
This is a non-coding RNA of Delphinapterus leucas (beluga whale), 3361 nucleotides long. The record is from RefSeq and is a predicted model, not a curated record. NCBI's taxonomy places the organism in Eukaryota, Metazoa, Chordata, Mammalia, Artiodactyla, Monodontidae.